Oncorhynchus tshawytscha (Chinook salmon) is the source of this 434-nucleotide long non-coding RNA. Lineage: Eukaryota; Metazoa; Chordata; Actinopteri; Salmoniformes; Salmonidae. The record is from Ensembl.
GGGAGGGGGAGGAUAAUGAUAUUAUUCUAUGUGUAGGUAGGGAUGGGGGAUAAUGAUAUUAUUCUAUGUGUAGGUGGGGAGGGGAGGGGUGAUAAUGAUAUUAUUCUAUGUGUAGGUGGGGAGGGGGAGGGGUGAUAAUGAUAUUAUUCUAUGUUUAGGUGGGGAGGGGAGGGGGUGAUAAUGAUAUUAUUAUAUGUGUAGGUGGGGAGGGGGGUGAUAAUGAUAUUAUUCUAUGUGUAGGUGGGGAGGGGAGGGGGUGAUAAUGAUAUUAUUAUAUGUGUAGGUGGGGAGGGGGUGAUAAUGAUAUUAUUCUAUGUGUAGGUGGGGAGGGGAGGGGGUGAUAAUGAUAUUAUUAUAUGUGUAGGUGGGGAGGGGUGAUAAUGAUAUUAUUCUAUGUGUAGGUAGGGAGGGGAGGGGUGGAUAAUGAUAUUAUU